This 1179-nucleotide long non-coding RNA is filed under the name Macaca fascicularis (crab-eating macaque). RNAcentral describes it as "lncRNA (ENSMFAG00000059211.1)". The record is from RNAcentral. Lineage: Eukaryota; Metazoa; Chordata; Mammalia; Primates; Cercopithecidae.
AUGUUGUGCACACACACGCACGCUUGCACCUGCAAGCUCACGUGGCGCCCAGGUAGGCCUGCAGCCAUGGCCACACAGGCACACAGAGGCAGGUGCCCAGGACACUUAGAAGGGGGUCUGGGCCUUCCCAUGCCCGCAUCCAGAGGUCCACAUGUGGCUGUGAACCCAGGCCUGUCCCUGUGUGGCCAUCCGUAUCCUCGGCAGCCCCCGUGCCAUGGCCAUCAGCCCCUAGCCACGGUACACAGCAUCAUGCUGGCGUCUCUUUGCCUUGACUUGGCUGGAUGGGCUGGUGGGGGCUGGCGGCUGGGACGCUGCCCUGCCCGCCCUCCUUCCCGCUGCUGUGCUCGCCGCCCGGCCCUCCUGCCUCCUGCUGGGCAGCAGGUGUGGUGCCCCUGCUGCCGCCGCCACCACUGCCUCUGCUUCCUCCGCUGCUGCCACCCCAACCCUGCAGGGCUCGCCUUUGUCCGGGGAACUGCGAGGGGCUGGGGGAAUGGGGCAGAAGGGGGGCUGAAAUUGGAGGCCAGAGAAAUGUGGAGGAGCUGGGGACAGAGGUCAGGGGCAGGUGGAGGGGGCGCCAUGGGGAAUGAGAGACGAGGGAGGGACGGGCAGCUGUGGCGGGCUCCCCUCUUAGGAUGGGGGUGGGCUAGGAAGGGGGCUUCUGGCGGGGAUGGCUGGGGACCCCAGUGUCUUGGGGCAAUGGGAGCUACGGUUGGUUCUGACCCCCGCCCCUCCCCUCUCCCUCCCUCCCCUGCCCAGAUCCCGGCAGCGGCUCCGCUGAAGGGCCCAGGCCCCUCUUCGUCCCCGUCACUACCUCACCAGGCCCCUCUGGGGGACAGCCCCCUGCCCUCCCCACACCCCGCCCGGCCCCCUUCCGCCCACCCUCCCGGCCCCAGAGUGUGUCCCGCCCUCCCUCAGAGCCAGCCCUGCACCCUUGUCCCCCACCCCAGGCCCCCCCAACUCUGCCUGGCAUCUUUGUCAUCCAAAACCAGCUGGGCGUUCCCCCACCUGCCAGCAACCCAUUUCUGCCCCAGGCCUCCCCAGCCCUCUCCGUCCCAUCCCAGCCAUGAGACCCCUUCCACUGCCUCCUCCGUCCCAUUCCAUCCAUUCCCUUCCGUCCACCCCCUGAUUCCUUCUCUCAGACCCUUCCACCACUUCCUUGGCUGCCUAAUUCCUGAGUAG